RNAcentral lists this unclassified non-coding RNA (2802 nucleotides) under Gigantopelta aegis. RNAcentral's name for it is "myelin expression factor 2-like, transcript variant X5". The record is from RNAcentral. Lineage: Eukaryota; Metazoa; Mollusca; Gastropoda; Neomphalida; Peltospiridae.
ACGGAUUGUUCAUAAACGGAGAAACAGAACAAAAUGGCCGAUUUGAAUUAUGAAGAGCCUGUUGUGGACAAUGGAAAUAGAGAAUAUUCUCCAGAAAGAACGCCUGUUAAGCCAAGCAGACGGUCCCGAUCACGGUCACGGUCACCCAUUCGGAGAUCACGCUCGCGGUCACCACGGCGACGGAGGUCAGUGAAUCUCAUGUCGAAACGUGUGAUGGUCAGCAACAUUCCUUACGAGAUGAAGUGGCAGCACAUCAAAGACAUCUUCAGAAAGGAAGUUGGUGACGUGUCUUAUGUGAAUAUGUUUGAAACGCCUGAUGGAAAAUCGAGUGGUUCGUGUGUUGUUGAAAUGAAGACAAUGGAUCUUACAAGAAAGGCAAUUGAGGUUAUGCAUAAAUUCAAAGUCAAGGACAGAUUCCUGACCGUUCGAGAGGAGCGAGAGAGUGACCUACGGCGACAGGAGAUGUAUGGCGGCGGUGGUGGCGGCGGUAUGGGGAACAUGUCUCAGGGAGGCGGUGGAAACGUCGGCCUUGGUAUGGGUGGUGGCGGUAUGGGCGGAGGCGGAAUGGGCGGAGGCGGAAUGGGCGGAGGCGGAAUGGGCGGAGGUGGUGUUGGCGGAGGGGUGGGCAUGGUCGGCAGUCAGAACAUGGGAAUGGGCGGCCCCAUCAACAACCGUAUCCUACAGCAGCUCGGAAUCGAAGGACCGCUUUCAAACACGGUGUUUAUCCACAAUCUGGAUUUCCGUGUGACGUGGCGUAAACUGAAGGAUGUCUUCAAACUGGCUGGCAAUGCAAUAAAGGCCGAUAUCAAAGUAGACAAGGACGGCAAGAGUCGCGGCUUGGGAACGGUCCAGUUUGAAACUCCGCUGGAGGCCGUGCAAGCAAUCUCUAUGUUCAACGGUCAGACGCUGUACGACCGGCAGAUGAUGGUCCGAAUAGACAAGACGGAGGAGCCCAAACCACCGGCGCCACGACUGCCCAGUGGCCUGAGGUCUAUAGGCAUGGGGCUUGGUAUAGGUGGAGCCCCCCUGCAGAAUCUAUCGCAGCUGCCGGGAGGUAUGGACAGUGGAAUUAGAGGUGGUGGAAGUGGCGGUAUGGGUGGUGGUUUCGGUAGCAUGUCUGGUAUGGGCGGAAUGGGCUCCAUGGACAUGGGCGGUGGGAUGUCCAGCAUGGGGGUUGGAAUGUCUGGCAGUAUGGGCGGGCUGUCUGGCAGCAUGGGGGGCCUCUCUGGAAACAUGGGGGGCAUGUCUGGAAACGUCGGCGGACUGUCCAGCAGCAUGGGCGGGAUGUCUGGAGGUUUGGGCGGGAUGGGGAGCGGGUCCAGCAGCCUGGGUGGGUCAAUGGGGAUGGGGGGAGGCAUGGGGGGCAUGUCCGGAGGCAUGGGGAUGGGAAGCAGCCUCGGGGGCAUGGGGGGCAGCCUUGGCAUGUCGGAUAACUUCAGCUCGGGCAUGGGGGGCAUGUCGUCGAACCUCGGUUCCGGGAUGGGCGGGGGGAUGAAGGACUCGAUGGGGGGGAUGGGAAGUAUGGGGGGAUCCAUGAUGAACUCCAGUAUGGGAGCGUGGGGCUCGGCCAACAUCGGCUCCAGUGGCAUGUCAUCGAACUCUGGAGACUCGGGUCACUAUGGCAACUACGGCUUGAAUGACCGGCGGGGAUCCAGCGGUCUGACGAGGCCGGACAACUGCACGGUUAUUGUUAAAAAUUUGCCGUAUUCCUUUACCUGGCAAACUUUAAAGGAUCGCUUUCAAGAUGUCGGCAAAGUAAAGUUUGCAGAGAUAGAGAAGGAGAACGGAAGAUCGUCUGGUGUUGGAUACGUUCGAUUUGGGAAUCCCGGUGAUGCUGAGAGAGCUGUCACUGUGAUGAACCGCGCUCGAAUGGAGAGUCGCGAGAUUCUGGUGCGCCCGUACCGCAACUGAACUACUGCACCGACAGAUAGACGGACGGUCGGACAGAGAUGUAAAGAAUCCUGAUUGCAGUGAAAUGAGGUUUUCUGUGAACUGUUUGUGAUAGGUCCCCUUUGGAUGAGAAGCUAGAGAUAUUGGAUUGUGGAUUCCUUUAAAACAAAAGCCUUCAGCUACAGCCAGAUUCAGGUCACAGGAUGGAACUGACAAGGAGGUCUGCCGUGUCAUGAAGUACACCGUUGAGAGGAGAUACAUUCUUAUUCUGGGACUAGAGGCGCUGUGGACUAGUGUUCCCAUGACGACAUGGAGGGAUGGUUUAGUAGAUGGGCGUACAGUGCCUGCAGAUAGCGUUGUGAUAAACAGAAUCGGUCUACAGUGCAAUCAUCAUUAACUGUCAUUGUGAUGGUGGUGAUGGACAUAAGAUAGAUGCCAGGGAAUUGUGGAUUCCUGCAUAGACUUGUGGUUGUUGUAAGAAUCAAGUGGACUGUAUGUGAUGCCAGGGAGUCACCAAUGCCUGCGUGGACCAUUGUGGUUGUUGAGAAUAGAUGGACUGUAUGUGAUGCCAGGGAGUUAUGCAUGUCUGCAUGGACUGUUGUGGUUGUUAUAACAAUCAAAUGGACUGUAUGUGAUGCUAGGAAGACAGAUGUCUGUGUGGAGUGGUGUGGUUGUUAUAAGAAUUAAAUGGACUCUUUGAAGUCAGAGAGUCAUCAGUGUGGAAUACAGUGUUGUGAUUGUUAUGAACAUUAAAUUGACUGCAGCAUGGAAGGGACCAAGCCUCAUGAAUUUCCCAUUCUUACCUUCACAAAAUAAAUUUGAUAUUUGUAGAUGGCAAUUUAUUGAACAGGCUACAGAAUUAUACACUUACUAUCCAUGUGCUGAGGUGCAUUAAACAAACAUUCCAAUCAA